CUACAUUCCACCCCACCGGGACCAGGCGGGACUGGGACACCACCACCCUUGGAGAUGGAAAGGUGGAGUCCCUGCCCAUUCCUGGAAUUUUCCUGACUCUAGGAGACAGUGUUUUUGGGAGCUGGGCUCCUUUGUCCCACCAAAAGGACAGGAAAGCGAAAAGGGAAGUGGCCGUUUAUGCAGCCAGAGGAAUGGGAUUUGAGAAAACAGACGGGGAAGUUCGGACCAGAUGUUGCCAGCUCUGGAGAAUGCCCGUGGAAGGUGGUGGAAACUCUAUCAGACACGGAAGACCCCGUCUUGAAACUGAAUUGAACAGGUUCACCCCCACCCCUAACGCACCCAGGAUUCUUCACUUCACCUCCAGGAUGCUGCUGGGGGAAUGGAAAGUACUAGACUAGGUCUCCCUUUCUUUAUUCCUGCCGUCUCUUACCUGUGGGAGUCCCACCCUUUGAGAAUUGAGGAACACGUGGGCUCCCACUGGCGGGCGGAUCUCACGCACACACGUGCACACUUUGCCCCCAGUGCAUUCAGGUCACGGGCCAGGGACCCAUCCCUUGGCCUCUGUUAAAAACCUACAGAGACAGCAAUUUCCCCUGUCUUAUAUUGUUGUUUACGUCUUUGUCCACAUCAUGGUUUGCAAAUUUUUUGACACUGAGCACCAGGUUUUAAAUUAUCUUCGUGUUCUCCCUAGCUCUGACAUGGUUUCUGGCAUAUUCUACAAGCUUAUUAAAUCCCCGCCUUAACAAGGACCCCUGCUUUCUUUUUAACAUAAUGAAACUGGGCCUUUUUCCCCACAUGAAAUUAGUACACCUCAAAGGGAGAAAAAUACAGGUCUUCGGUGGAAAAUGUAUCCCUCUAGUAGGGACACGCACAACAAAAAACACUUUUGCUGCUGCUGCUGCCCCAGACACAGAUGAGGAAACACAGCACAAGGCGGAGCUAUACAAGGCUGCUCCUGGGCCCUGGAGCUGUGGGCUUUCCAGAAGGACUGGACUGGGGAGGAACAAGGAGGUGGCGAUCAGAACGCGAGGAGCUGCUCUAUUUCGAAUCUUUGGUCAAAAAAAAAUUCACCUGAAUGAUUUUAUCAGAGGGGAGUGACCUGCCCACCUCCCUCUACCCUGAAGCUAGGCAUGGACUCCCCAGACUCUUAGCUUCUGUCUUCCUCCAGCUGAUUGGUGUUAAGUGACAUCAGCUCUGGGGCACCCCAAGGUGACUGGCUCCAAAACACCAAUUUUUUUUUGUAAUGUGCAAGUAAUUUUUUGUUCAUGGUAGAAAAAUUAGAAACUGAAAAUAAAUAAAAAGAAAAGAAAUCCUACAUGAUUCUCUCUCUCAG
Molecule: long non-coding RNA, 1333 nt
Organism: Nycticebus coucang (slow loris)
Lineage: Eukaryota; Metazoa; Chordata; Mammalia; Primates; Lorisidae
Exons: 4
Source: RefSeq, a predicted model, not a curated record